CCUACGGGAGGCAGCAGUCGAGAAUCAUUCACAAUGGGGGAAACCCUGAUGGUGCGACGCCGCGUGGGGGAAUGAAGGUCUUCGGAUGGUAAACCCCUGUCAUGUGGGAGCAAAUUAAAAAGAUAGGACCACAAGAGGAAGAGACGGCUAACUCUGUGCCAGCAGCCGCGGUAAUACAGAGGUCUCAAGCGUUGUUCGGAAUUACUGGGCGUAAAGCGUGCGUAGGCUGUUUCGUAAGUCGUGUGUGAAAGGCGCGGGCUCAACCCGCGGACGGCACAUGAUACUGCGAGACUAGAGUAAUGGAGGGGGAACCGGAAUUCUCGGUGUAGCAGUGAAAUGCGUAGAUAUCGAGAGGAACACUCGUGGCGAAGGCGGGUUCCUGGACAUUAACUGACGCUGAGGCACGAAGGCCAGGGGAGCGAAAGGGAUUAGAUACCCUGGUAGUC
This 446-nucleotide ribosomal RNA is filed under the name uncultured bacterium. Its description in RNAcentral is "partial 16S ribosomal RNA". It matches the Rfam family "Bacterial small subunit ribosomal RNA", at positions 338 to 795 of the family's 1533-position model. The record is from RNAcentral.